Molecule: transfer RNA, 73 nt
Filed under: Ovis aries (sheep)
Lineage: Eukaryota; Metazoa; Chordata; Mammalia; Artiodactyla; Bovidae
Rfam family: tRNA
About the family: Transfer RNA (tRNA) molecules are approximately 80 nucleotides in length.
Source: Rfam by way of RNAcentral
UCCCUGAAGGUCCAGUGGUUAGGACUCAGCACUUUCCCUGCUGAGGUCCUGGGUUCAAUCCCUGGUCAUGGAA